GGACCCGAAGCACUUAGAGGGCCAGGGC
This 28-nucleotide small RNA is filed under the name Bombyx mori (domestic silkworm). RNAcentral describes it as "ovarian small RNA-17247". Lineage: Eukaryota; Metazoa; Arthropoda; Insecta; Lepidoptera; Bombycidae. The record is from RNAcentral.